This 77-nucleotide transfer RNA is filed under the name Alphaproteobacteria bacterium. RNAcentral's name for it is "tRNA-Arg". It matches the Rfam family "tRNA". Rfam says of the family: Transfer RNA (tRNA) molecules are approximately 80 nucleotides in length. Lineage: Bacteria; Pseudomonadati; Pseudomonadota; Alphaproteobacteria. The record is from RNAcentral.
GGACCCAUAGCUCAGUUGGAUAGAGCACGACAUUCCUAAUGUCGGGGUCAGUGGUUCGAGUCCACUUGGGUUCACCA